CAUACACAUUAGCAUAAUUUAGUUGAUUUCAUUGACCAGUAUCUCCCAUUUUCCUCCCACCAUCCUUUCCCUGAUUCCUAUCUUUUAUUCUACUAGUAUCCUUUCUAUUUUCGUAAAAUCGUGUAUUUCCUCCUCUUUUCUUCUAAAUUCAACAUGUAAAAGAAACAUAUAACCAGUGACCUUCUGAGUCUGACUUAUUUCACUUACCAUCAUGUUCUCCAGUUUCAUCCAUUUUUCCUGCAAAUGACAUAGUUUCAUUUUUCUUUAUGACUGAAUAAAACUUCAUUGGGUAAAUAGAACACAUUUUUAUCCAUUCAUCCAUUGACAGAUAUCUAGGCUGAUACCAUAACAUGUCUCUUGUGGACUGUUCUGCUUAAACAUGGGUAUGCAGGCAUCACUAUAGUAUGCUGACUUCCAUUCUUUAAGAAAAAUACUGAGCACUGGUAAAGCAGGGUCAUAUGGUACAUUCCAUUUCUAGUCUUUUGAGGGAUUUCCAUACUGAUUUCCACAAUGAUUGCAUUAAUUUGUAGCUGCAACAACAGUGUUCCUUUGCCCCACAUUCUUGCCAGCAUUUAUUAUUAUUUGUUUUCUUGAUGGUUGCCAAUAUAACUGGAGUAAAAUGAAAUUUCAGUGUAGUUUUGAUUUGCAACCUCUGAUUACUAAGGAUGUUGAACAUCUUUUUUUUUCAUCUAUUUGUUGGCCAUUUGUGUUUCUUCUCUUCAGAAAUGUCCAUUUGGUUCAUUUUCCCAUUUAUUGAUUAGAUAAUUUAUGAGGAGGGUUGGUGGCAAGUUUUUUUUUUUUUUUAUUUCUUCAUACAUUCUGGAUAUUAAUCCUCUGUUGGAAGAGUAUCUGGUAAAGAUUUUUCUCCCAUCAUAAAUUUUUCAUUGAAGAUCUGCUACUCAUAUUUUCUGAGCUUCAUGAGUAAAUGACUACAAGAUCCUGGCAAUUCAUAUUAUGGUGAUAUCUCUGACUAAGACAUAAUAAGCUAUAUAGUUUGAGCUAAUGCCAUCAGUUUCAGAAGAUGCAGCUGCAUUUCAUGUCCCUGAUGGAUGAUUUUUUUUCCUUCAGAAUUAGACUAGCACCAACUACUACCAUAUGUUGAAGACAAAGCUCAACAAUCUUAGACUCUUCUCCUUUACAUGUUUUUCAUACACUUUUUAUCUAAAGCUCAAGCUCUGGAUUUUCUUUUCUUAAGACAAGAUGCCAGAAAGAAAUAUUUUGUGUUCUCCAUUGCUAAGCAGUAGCACAUAAUGCGAACACAAAUUCCAUUCUACUUUCUAGUACCAAAGAAAGAAGGAAAACAUAGCUUUGGCCAAUAACAGCAAAGAAGUUGAACUGCAUCCUGAGAGGACAGGAAGGAUAAACAUGGCACUCUAUUGUUCUAAGCAGCUCUAUUAUGGGAAGGAUGCUAAUUCCUCUCAGACAGACUAGAAAUAGGAAUGUGUGGGUGGUGAAAAAGCCUCCUCAUAUGAAGCCAGGAUAAAAUCCAUUUCCCUUAGUUUCUAUUUUGGGAGAAAAAAGUCAAGAGGUUGAUGAGCAAUGCAGAGCAAGUUAAAUCAUAUUUUCCUUUUUAUUUAUAUCCAUCCAUCCAUUCGUACAUUCCUUCUUUUGUGUUCAUAGGUGAUUAUUAAACAUGUACCAGCAAUGUGUUUGCCUCCAGGACACUAAAAUAAGGGAAGCAUAGUAUAGCCAUUAAUAAAUUGAAAUGUAGUUGGGAGAUGGUCACCUAUACAGAAUAUUAUAAUACAAGCUUUCUGAAGAACAUGCUCCCUGAUCUUUUUAAUUUAAUAAUUUGUUUUAAUUUAAUUCUCGACAUAAAUUUAGUUGACUAGAUAAUUCCACUUCACAUUGGUAAAAUUUGCUCUUUACCCAUACACACCUAGCCAUACUAAUUUUUACAUGAGUGCAAGUUAAGUUUUGAGGGAGAAAGUUAAGAUGGUGUACAAAUGGGAAUGGUAUUAUGUCACGUACAGGAAUUUGCAUGAGCAAAGGCUUGAGGGAACAAAUGUGCGUUAAGCAGAUUGCAAACUGUUUUGCAUGAAAGGAAUGAAGAGCAAAUUGAGAAGGUGACCAUGUAAUUUAUCUUCCCAAAUGAUACAUUUUUGAGAGUGAAAUGGAAUGUAAAUAUAAUCUAAAUUAUGUCAUUUAAAAUGUUGACAUAUUUACUUAAAAUAAUUAUUAUUGUUGGCUAAAUAAAAUUCCAAUGUGUAUACAUGACACAUUUUUUUCUUCAGUCUCCAUUGAUGGAGUUUAUUCAGUCAUAAAUAAAAAUGAAAUUAUGUCAUUUGCAGGAAAAUGGAUGGAACUUGAGACCAUUAUGUUAAGUGAAAAAAUACAAACUCAGUAGGUCAAGGUUGUAUGUUUAUUCUCCUAUGUGGAAGCUAGAGGGGAAAAAAGAAAACAAAGAUGGGGGAGAGGACCUCAGGAAAAUAGAAGGGAGAUCAGUUGAGUAGAGGAAAAAGACCAGGAGGAGGUAACAGGGAAGGAAAAGGAGAAAUACUGGGGAAUGAUAUUGACCAAAAUAUAUUGUUAUAUUAUGUGCAUGUAUGAAUAUGUAAU
Molecule: long non-coding RNA, 2559 nt
Filed under: Marmota monax (woodchuck)
Lineage: Eukaryota; Metazoa; Chordata; Mammalia; Rodentia; Sciuridae
Source: RNAcentral